AGAUUGAACGCUGGCGGCAGGCCUAACACAUGCAAGUCGAGCGGUAGAGAGGUGCUUGCACCUCUUGAGAGCGGCGGACGGGUGAGUAAAGCCUAGGAAUCUGCCUGGUAGGUGGGGGAUAACGCUCGGAAACGGACGCUAAUACCGCAU
RNAcentral lists this ribosomal RNA (150 nucleotides) under uncultured soil bacterium. RNAcentral describes it as "partial 16S ribosomal RNA". It matches the Rfam family "Bacterial small subunit ribosomal RNA", at positions 26 to 174 of the family's 1533-position model. The record is from RNAcentral.